AGCGAACGUUUGCGGCGGGCCUAACACAUGCAAGUCGAACGGGCUAGCAAUAGUCAGUGGCGCACGGGUGCGUAACACGUGGGUAAUCAACCCUUCAGCUCGGGAUAACGCCUUGAAAGGGGCGCUAAUACCGGAUACGACGCGAGGAGCUUCGGCUGCUCGCGGGAAAGAUUCGCAAGGAUCUCUGAAGGACGAGCCUGCGGCCCAUCAGCUAGUUGGUGAGGUAAGAGCUCACCAAGGCGAAGACGGGUAGCUGGUCUGAGAGGAUGAUCAGCCACACUGGAACUGAGACACGGUCCAGACUCCUACGGGAGGCAGCAGUGGGGAAUAUUGCGCAAUGGGCGAAAGCCUGACGCAGCCACGCCGCGUGAGCGAUGAAGGCCUUCGGUCGUAAAGACUCUGUGGGAGAGGAAGAAUAAAGACCUGUGAAGAGCGGGCCGUUGACGGUAGUACUCCUUAG
Molecule: ribosomal RNA, 460 nt
Filed under: uncultured bacterium
Lineage: Bacteria
Description: bacterial SSU rRNA
Rfam family: Bacterial small subunit ribosomal RNA
Source: RNAcentral